UUGUAUAUUGCUUUUAGAAGUAUGGUCAUUUUGAUAAUAUUAAUUCUGCCUAAGAGCAAGGUAGAUCUUUCCAUCUUCUGAGGUCCUGUUUGACUUCUUUCUUUAGGGUUCUGUAAUUUCAUUACAUAGAUCUUUCACCUCUUUCGUUGAAAAAAAAAGUUUAUUAAAGUCUAUCAACUUAAUUUAUUUUCUCAAAGAAUCAACUUUUUGUUCUGUCAAUUUUUUCAAAUGUUUCUUUUGUUUCAAUUUCAUUGAUUUCAUCUCUGAUUUUAAAUAUUUCCUGUCUUCUGCUGCUUUUGGUGUUGAUUUGUUCUUCUUUUUCUAGGGCUUUGAGGUGUAAUGUUAAGUCAUUUAUUUGUUGACUUUUUCUUCUUUUAAGGAAUGAACUCCAUGCAAUGAACUUUCCUCUUAGAACUGCUUUCAUAAUGUCUCAGAGAUUUCGAUAUGUUGUAUCUGUGUUCUCAUUCACCUCUAAAAAUAUUUUAAUCUCCUCCUUGAUGUCUUCUGCAACCCAUGGUUCAUUCAGUAGAAUAUUAUUUAGUCUACAGGUAUUGGAGUGGAUUUUUUUCUUAUUUUAUCAUUGAUUUAUAAUUUCAUUCCAUUAUGAUCUGAUAGAAUGCAGGGUAGUAUCUCUACGUUUUAUAUUUGCUGAGUUGCUUUGUGGUAUAAUGUAUGGUCUAUUUUAUAGAAGGAUCUGUGUGCUGCUGAGAAGAAAGUGUAUUUUCUCAUCGAAGGAUGAAAUAUUCUAUAUAUGUCAGUUAAGUCUGUUAUUGAUUGUAUUAUUGAGUUCUAUAGUUUCUUUGUUCAGCUUUUGUUUGGAAGAUCUAUCUAAUGAUGAAAGAAGUAUGUUAAAGUCACCCAAAAUUAUUGUGUUGUGGUCUAUUUGACUCUUAAACUUGAGAAGAGUUUGUUUGAUGAACAUAGAUGCUCCAUUGUUUGGGGUAUAUAUAUUUAUAGUUGUUAAGUCAUGUUGGUGUAUGGUUCCCUUGAGCAGUACGUAGUGUCCUUCUUUAUCCUUUUUGAUUGACUUUAGCUUGAAGUCUACUUUAUUUGAUAUGAGGAGGGAAACCCCUGCUUGCUUCCACAGUCCAUGUGAGUGGUAUGAUUAUUCCCAGCCUUUCACCUUAAGUCUGUGGAUGUCUUUUCCUAUGAGAUGAGUCUCUUGGAGGCAGC
This 1173-nucleotide long non-coding RNA is filed under the name Marmota monax (woodchuck). The record is from RNAcentral. Lineage: Eukaryota; Metazoa; Chordata; Mammalia; Rodentia; Sciuridae.